This 2798-nucleotide long non-coding RNA is filed under the name Homo sapiens (human). RNAcentral's name for it is "non-protein coding lnc-GRIP2-1:10". The record is from RNAcentral. Lineage: Eukaryota; Metazoa; Chordata; Mammalia; Primates; Hominidae.
ACACAAAGAACCCGGGCUCGCCGAGCGCGCGCGCACACCCUCAUGCCGCGCGGCGAACGUUCGUUGCCAGGUGCGGCAGCCCGCCCUGGGCGCCUCCUGCCUGCGGAAGAAGAGCAGGACAGACCCGACCCGACCCGCCUAGUCCUUUCCUUCACAGCAGCCUCCAAACUCCACCGCUCGCCUCUUCCGCCAGGCUCCUAGGAUGAGGCCCAGGGCUCCUGGAGCAGCCAGGUGCAAACCAGACCGGGCUCGCACUCCACUGCGUUGCCCUGGGCGAUCGUCCACGUUCUGGGAGACUCGGUAUGCCCCGGGAGGGUGGCCUGAGCUUGUGGUGUGAAGCCAGGUACAGAGCUCCAGAAUCCUGGCCUUGCCAUGGCUGUGUGACCCUGGGCAAGUGACUCAAUUUCUCUGCCUCAGUGUCCUCAUCUAUAAAAUGGAAAGGAAAAUAGUAGCGCUUGUCUCCUCCGGCUGUUAUGAAGAUCCAAGGUUAACAGCGUAGAGAACUCGGAACGCACCCGGCAUCUAGGAAGUGCCAAGCCAGUGUCAGCUAAUGUGACUAUUUUUAAAUGGAGAUGGGGAGUGUGCCAUUAUUCUUGUCCUUAUUUGAAUGAACGGGCCCUCAGGGACCAUUUUCCACUGCCCCGCCCUGGCAGCAUGAGAGGGAAACGCUGUGAGAACCCCGAACCCCAGCCUUCUCCUGUCCCUCUCUCUCUCUCUCUCUCUCUGCACCUGGGAGGCGGGGAGGAGAGAGCCGAUCCUUCCACCAUUUACACGGAGAAUGAAAGAAGAAAUACCGGCCAGGCGCGGUGGCUCAUGCCUGUAAUCCCAGCACUUUGGGAGGCCGAGGGGGCAGAUCACCUGAGGUCAGGAGUUCGAGACCAGCCUGGCCAACAUGGCGAAACUCCGUCUCUACUAAAAGUACAAAAAUUAGCCUGGCGUGGUGCCGGGUGCCUAUAAUCCCAGCUACUCAGGAGGCUGAGGCAGGAGAAUCCCUUGAACCCGGGAGGCGGAGGUUGCAGUGAGCCGAGAUCACGCCACUGCACUCCAGCCUGGGUGACAAGAAUGAGUCUCAAAAAAACAAAAAAGAAGAAGAAGAAGAAAUACCACACAGGUCCGACCAAGAGCUGCCCCCACUCAGGCCAGGAUCCCUGCCUGGAAGGGCUCUGCAGCCACUCUCCCUGUACAGCCCCAGGAUGCUAAGGAGCAUCCCGAAGUGACACUGGCUCUCCCUGGAGGCCCCUGCCAUCGGACUCCAACCUGACCUUCCAGUGGGUGCUCCUCAUACUGGCUCCAGCCAAGACAGACGAGGACCACUGGGCACAUGCCCUUCCUUGCCUUCCUGUCACCCUUCCCACCCUUCUCUGCGGGCCCCGGGUGGCCCCUUCCUCCAGGAAGCACCUGGGGAUCAGCAGUGCCUCUAGGGUCCCAGUGGCCCACGUGACAUCUGCUUCUGGCCACCUGAGCACUCUCCUUUGAGUUCAGGGUCACUGUACCCUUUUAUAGGUGAGCAAACGAAAGCUGAGGAAGAGGAGUGACUGGGUCUCCCACAUCCCUCUGCUUCAGCUAUGAGGUUCCCUCAUGAACUGCAGGAAUAGACGUCAAGCAAAAACUCCUCAGACGCCCUGUGCAUGUGUGGUCGCACAGGGCACAAAGACUGAAGCAAAGGGGCAGGUCCUAGCGUGGGGAGGGGACUCCAGGAUUGAAGUUUGAACCAAAAGGAGGCUUUGACUAAGCCACGAGCAGUGAAGCCGGCAGGAGAGGAAGCAAGUUCUAGCAGAGAAAUUCGCCGGGUAUGGUGGUGCAUGCCUAUGGUCCCAGCUACUCAGGAGGCUGAGGCAGGAGGAUCACUUGAGCCCGGGAGGUGAAGGCUGCGGUAAGCUAUGACUACACCACUGCACUCCAGCCUAGGUGCGAGAGCAAGACCCUGUCUCCAAACAACAACAACAACAACAAAAUCUGAAUGCCUGGUUUAUCUUGAAAUAUGGCAAAAUGGGGCCACCCAGGCCCAUUAACCCCCUGUCUACAAUGUCCUGGAGCUGAGGGGCAUUAGCCACCCUCUCACAUGGGCUCCCCAGGGUGCCACAGCUCCCUCCUAGCUAGUUUGCUCUUUUCUGUCACCUACCGGCCCUUGCAGGGAGCUGAAUUUGAGACCCAUGAUGCACUUUGUGCACCCUGCCCCCUCAAAGAUAACUGUGAGUACCAAGGGAAAUGGAAAGCUUUGGCAACAAGAAGGGAGCUUCAAGGAAAGCCAGGCCGAGGUUCCCCUCAGAACCAUAGACUAGCCUGAAAUUCCACUGGGACUAAUUCUUCUCAUUUCAAGAAUGAAAAUCGAUUGCUGGACAGAGCUCCCGGAGGGCCAAUUUUCAGGCUGUAGUCUACAGCCGUCCACGUAGAGGCAGUGAACGAAAUUUUUCAAAGCCUACUUUAUGAUUACUUUCUUUAGCAGCUCUCAACAGUAAAAUAAAAUUGAUCUAGGACUUUGAACAAAACUUCUCGCCCCUUUCUAGGGAAGAGUUUGUCUCGUCUAUCAGGCCACCAACAAGAGUUGUUGCAAUGCCUGUGGGAGGUGCAGCCCACGCUGGGCCACCUGGCCAGCUCAGGGAUCCUGCUGGAGAUCGAGGAUUGUCUGGUCGGCCUCUUACAACUCUCAGAACAUCAUCCCUGGGAGCAGCCCUGAAGAGACCAAGGGUCAGUGGCGGGGCUGCUGAGUGGCUGCCUCCCUGACCUGGCCAGCAUUUCCUGGGCACACUGCAGUGUGUCCACGUCCCUGGGCCUCAGCUCCAGUGUCUCAUCCCCAG